This 418-nucleotide ribosomal RNA is filed under the name Ceutorhynchus sp. CND794. Its description in RNAcentral is "partial 28S ribosomal RNA". Lineage: Eukaryota; Metazoa; Arthropoda; Insecta; Coleoptera; Curculionidae. The record is from RNAcentral.
GGUAAACCUGAGAAACCCGAAAGGUCGAAGGGAGAAAUUCAAUCGCGUUUCGCCGCAGGCGUCGGGCGGUCGCGCGACGGGUAGCGUUCGCGUUUCCCGCGCCCUCCGUCCUUCGAACCGGUGGCGAACGCGUGCACUUUUCUCCUGGUAGGACGUCGCGAUCCGUUGGGUGUCGGUCUACGGCUCGCGGUGGAGCCCGUUCGUGCCACGUGUGCGAGCGGACCCGCGUGUCCCGGCUGACUCGCUCGACGGUAUACGAAAGAUUUAAGGCCGCUCUCGGAGCGUUCGACUCGCGGCAAGCGCGCCAGAUGCGUCGGCGAUCGGACCUAGUGCCGAUUCUGACCUCUGGUGACUGUUGGCCGCGAUCGUCUCGAACAGACCUUUGGAUCGAUCGGCGACGCUAUAGCUUUGGGUACUU